GAGAACAGGGCUGCCGUCAAUGACAAAUGCUGGACUAGACACCAAUGCUACGUAGUUCUUCAUUAAAACAUUCAUAUUUGGUUGGUUGGAUGGCCACCACGUCAUCUUUGGCAAUGUGCUUUCAGGGAUUCAUGUUGUCCGCGAGAUUGAAGCUGAAGGAAGACAGAAUAGGGAGCCCCUAUGGCAAUUGGCAGGGAUGCACCCGGAUUUGCAGUUUCUUUAGGUGAAUUAUGAGGAGCACAAAUCCAUGUGUUAUAGUCUUAAUGUUCAUGUGCUGCCAUUUUUCCAGUUUAACAGAGGAGCGACUAUGCAACUUUAACUAUUUAAGAUAUGUUUUUGUCUUUCAACUAUCAUGUGAAGACCAUUAGUGAAUUGGGAAUGAUUAUUGAAUGAAUAAUUUUAUUGUUGUUAGUGAUUGCCAGUUUGUUUUCAUUUUUCAGAUUUAUUCUCAUUUUGCAAUACACUAUGAACACAGGGAUCAAACUACUUGAGAGAUUAAUUUUUCAGAAAAUGUAUUAAAUUUUGAGAAGUUGAGUGUUGGUGUUUUUUGAUAUAAAAG
Molecule: long non-coding RNA, 559 nt
Organism: Pistacia vera
Lineage: Eukaryota; Viridiplantae; Streptophyta; Magnoliopsida; Sapindales; Anacardiaceae
Exons: 3
Source: RefSeq, a predicted model, not a curated record